Pelobates cultripes (western spadefoot toad) is the source of this 538-nucleotide non-coding RNA. Lineage: Eukaryota; Metazoa; Chordata; Amphibia; Anura; Pelobatidae. The record is from the annotation of a GenBank genome assembly.
UUUUUUUUAAGACCGGAGAGCAACCAUUUCUACUUUGGAAUUGUGUGUGUAUAAUAUAUAUAUAUAUAUUUUAUUAUUUUUUAAAAAAUUUUUUAAUUGGGGUAGCCCCCAAAAUAUUGGGACAUUUAAAAAAAAAAAGACAACUCUAUUGCGCAGAGUAGCUGUUGACAUUAUUGUUGCGCAGGCACUUUGUUGACUCUAGAGAACCUUCGGCCAAUCGCAAAUUCCCGUGGCGGCGACUUUGCAUGCAGAUGUCAUCCAUAUCAACAUUCGAUGCUAGUUUCUGCGCCUACCAUGGUGACCACGGGUAACGGGGAAUCAGGGUUCCAUUCCGUACAGGGACCCUGAGAAACAGCUACCACAUGCAAGGAAGACAGCAGCAGCGCAAAUGACCCACUCCCGACUUGGGAAGGUAGUGACGACAAAUAACAAUACAAGACUCUUUAGAGUCCACUUGAAAUCCUUUAACUCUGAUCAAUUGGAAGGAAGUCUGGUGCAGAGCCACUGACCCGUGCGUGCUGCAGCUGAAACUCCACUA